GUUCUGGGAUAGCUCAGCCGGUACAGUAUGAGGCUCUUAAUGUCAGGGUCGUGGGUUUGAACCCCACGUUGGGCA
Molecule: non-coding RNA, 75 nt
Organism: Podarcis lilfordi (Lilford's wall lizard)
Lineage: Eukaryota; Metazoa; Chordata; Lepidosauria; Squamata; Lacertidae
Source: the annotation of a GenBank genome assembly